CCUACGGGAGGCAGCAGUGGGGAAUAUUGGACAAUGGGGGGAACCCUGAUCCAGCCAUGCCGCGUGUGUGAAGAAGGCCCUCGGGUUGUAAAGCACUUUCAGUGAGGAAGAACGCCUGGUGGUUAAUACCCAUCAGGAAAGACAUCACUCACAGAAGAAGCACCGGCUAACUCCGUGCCAGCAGCCGCGGUAAUACGGAGGGUGCGAGCGUUAAUCGGAAUUACUGGGCGUAAAGCGCGCGUAGGUGGCUUGAUAAGCCGGUUGUGAAAGCCCCGGGCUCAACCUGGGAACGGCAUCCGGAACUGUCAAGCUAGAGUGCUGGAGAGGAAGGUAGAAUUCCCGGUGUAGCGGUGAAAUGCGUAGAGAUCGGGAGGAAUACCAGUGGCGAAGGCGGCCUUCUGGACUGACACUGACACCGAGGUGCGAAAGCGUGGGUAGCAAACAGGAUUAGAUACCCGUGUAGUC
Molecule: ribosomal RNA, 465 nt
Filed under: Vreelandella stevensii
Lineage: Bacteria; Pseudomonadati; Pseudomonadota; Gammaproteobacteria; Oceanospirillales; Halomonadaceae
Description: partial 16S ribosomal RNA
Rfam family: Bacterial small subunit ribosomal RNA
Source: RNAcentral